AUUGAACGCUGGCGGCAGGCCUAACACAUGCAAGUCGAACGGUAACAGGAAACAGCUUGCUGUUUCGCUGACGAGUGGCGGACGGGUGAGUAAUGUCUGGGACACUGCCUGAUGGAUGGGGAUAACUACUGGAAACGGUAGCUAAUACCGCAUAACGUCGCAAGACCAAAGAGGGGGACCUUCGGGCCUCUUGCCAUCGGCUGUGCCCAGAUGGGAUUAGCUAGUAGGUGGGGUAACGGCUCACCUAGGCCACGAUCCAUAGCUGGUCUGAGAGGAUGACCAGCCACACUGGAACUGAGACACGGUCCAGACUCCUACGGGAGGCAGCAGUGGGGAAUAUUGCACAAUGGGCGCAAGCCUGAUGCAGCCAUGCCGCGUGUAUGAAGAAGGCCUUCGGGUUGUAAAGUACUUUCAGCGGGGAUGAAGGGAGUAGAGUUAAUACCUUUGCUCAUUGACGGUACCCGAAGAAGAAGCACCGGCUAACUCCGUG
Molecule: ribosomal RNA, 490 nt
Filed under: uncultured bacterium
Lineage: Bacteria
Description: partial 16S ribosomal RNA
Rfam family: Bacterial small subunit ribosomal RNA
Source: RNAcentral